CUCCUCCUCCACUUCCACCUCCACGAUCUCCACAACCUCCACCACCACCACCUGUAAUGGCUCCUCCAGUUCCAAAGGCUGUUCCUUCGGCUCCUGUUCCACCCCCUCCCCCAUCCAUCAAAAGACCUGGUGGUCCCCCUCCACCUCCACCAAAAGCUGCUUCUGUUCCUCGUGCACCAAAAAUAAACAUGGGUCCAUCAAAAGUGCCUCCGCCAUCCCCUCUUGGGCCCCAACAUUCUGUAUCAGAUGGUGCACCAAAAACAAAGCUCAAACCAUUAUUUUGGGAUAAAGUUCUUGCAAACCCUGAUCAAUCUAUGGUGUGGAAUCAGAUUAAGUCGGGUUCAUUCCAGUUUGAUGAGGAGAUGAUUGAAAGUCUUUUUGGUUACAAUUCUGCUAAUAAACCCAAAAAUUGUGGGAAGGGCUUAUCAUCAAAGGUUCCUGUUGAAUAUGUUCGGAUUCUUGAUGCCAAGAAGUCCCAAAAUUUGGCUAUUUCAUUAAAGGCACUGAAUGUGAAAAUAGAAGGAGUUCGUGAUGCUCUUAUGGAAGGAAAAAAGCUUCCAGUGGAGUUACUACAAACAUUGAUAAAGAUGGCUCCUACAACUGAUGAAGAGCUGAAGCUUCGAUUGUAUACUGGUGAUCAUUCUGAACUUGGCUUAGCAGAAAGGUUUUUGAAGGCAUUAUUGGAUAUUCCGUUUGCUUUUCAAAGACUAGAAGCACUUCUUUUCAUGGCUUCCAUGCCAGAAGAAGUUUCAACUGCCACGGAAUCGUUUUCUACGCUAGAGGUGGCCUGUGAAGAACUAAAAAGUAGCCGUCUGUUCUUGAAGCUAUUAGAAGCUGUCCUUAAAACUGGCAAUCGCAUGAAUGAUGGUACCUUCCGUGGGGGAGCACAAGCAUUCAAGCUUGAUACACUCCUGAAGUUGUCUGAUGUUAAAGGAGCCGAUGGGAAGACAACAUUAUUGCAUUUUGUUGUUCAAGAGAUAAUUCGAUCUGAAGGUGUGCGUGCUGUACGAAUAGCCAGGGAACGAAGUGGGAGCGUCUCUAGCCUGAACUCUGAUGAUCUUAGUGAUGAUUCACUCCAUGAAUCUGAAGACUACUUCCGAAAACUUGGUCUUAAAAUUGUUUCAGGUCUUGGAGAUGAACUUCAAAAUGUCAAGAAAGCAGCAUCUUUGGAUGCUGAUGCCUUGGCAACUUUGGUGGCACAGCUUAACCACAGGUCGGUGAGGACAAAGGAAUUCCUAAAUACAAGCAUGAAAAGUCAUGAGGAGGAAAGUGGGUUUCAUCACAUACUCAAGAGUUUCAUGGAGCAAGCUGAAACUGGAAUCAGUUUCUUAUUAGGUGAAGAAAAGAGACUAAGAUUAUUGGUAAAGAAAACCACAGACUUUUUCCAUGGAAAUGCUGGGAAGGAUGAGGGCUUACGAUUGUUUGUAAUUGUACGGGACUUUCUUGUGAUGUUAGAUAAGGCCUGCAAAGAGGUGAGAGAAGCACCAAGAAAAGUUAAACAAGCACCCAGAAAUAGAGAAACAUCAUCACCACUACCCGUGCCAGAUCCAAAGCAGCUACUUUUUCCGGCGAUAAGGGAUCGGCGGGUCGAUAGUUCUAGUUCGGAUGAUGAGAGCUGACUUUGGUUGGAACAGGGGUUUGGUUUUAUUCAUCAAUCCUGGGUUUUGUUGGAGAUUGAUCGUUGAGCCAGUCCUCGGAUCUGGCUAAAGUACAUAUUCUGUGAACAGGACUCAUAAGGUGCUGAAAACUACUACUCGAGAGGCCCAUUGGUGAUCGGCUCGCCGUUGAGCAUGGUUUAAUGAUCUGAAUCUGAUCGAUUAUGCUCUGGGAAUCACAGACUUGAAAGCCUGGUUCUCAGAAGCUCGAACAACCACAUCUGCACCUGAUGCCCGCGCCACCGACCAAGGCUGCAUCAUAGAAUCAUCCGAUGCUUUCAACACAUCUGGAUUCAGGUCCUCGCCACUUGCAUCAGGAAGUUAGACUAGUUUUGUUAUACUAGCAGAUUGUGCCUAGUGAACAGCUUUAGAACAAUAAAUUUUGAAUCAUAAGUUAAUUCUUUCAUUAUACAUUGAUCUCUUGGAAGUAAAAGAUGGGAGCAGUUCAUGCCUUGUUUCCUCGUUGGCGACAGCUUUGGUCUAUAAACUAUGAAUCUGUACAUGCUACUCAAACUGUAUAUGGACAAUUAGACUACAAUUACUGUGAUUACUAGAUCAAAGAACAUCAUUUCAGUAUACUGAAACAAUAAACUCAAAGUUACUCUCUGC
This is a non-coding RNA of Musa acuminata subsp. malaccensis (wild Malaysian banana), 2264 nucleotides long. The record is from RefSeq and is a predicted model, not a curated record. Lineage: Eukaryota; Viridiplantae; Streptophyta; Magnoliopsida; Zingiberales; Musaceae.